Molecule: transfer RNA, 74 nt
Filed under: Synechococcus phage S-CBWM1
Lineage: Duplodnaviria; Heunggongvirae; Uroviricota; Caudoviricetes
Source: Rfam by way of RNAcentral
GUCCCUGUAGCCCAAUUGGAAGAGGCAGCGGAUUUAAGCCCCGCUCGGUGUCAGUUCGACCCUGACCAGGGAUA